ACUGCUGUAACAGCCAUAGCAGAAGCACUCACAACGCAGACCUGUCAGAUUCUAACGAAUCUGCAAAGUCAGCU
This 74-nucleotide long non-coding RNA is filed under the name Crocodylus porosus (Australian saltwater crocodile). RNAcentral's name for it is "Mammalian CPEB3 ribozyme (ENSCPRG00005018319.1)". It matches the Rfam family "Mammalian CPEB3 ribozyme". Rfam says of the family: The mammalian CPEB3 ribozyme is a self cleaving RNA located in the second intron of the CPEB3 gene which belongs to a family of genes regulating messenger RNA polyadenylation. This ribozyme is highly conserved and found only in mammals. There is currently only one other known self cleaving ribozyme in mammals, the CoTC motif. Lineage: Eukaryota; Metazoa; Chordata; Crocodylia; Crocodylidae. The record is from Rfam by way of RNAcentral.